This 423-nucleotide ribosomal RNA is filed under the name uncultured prokaryote. Its description in RNAcentral is "bacterial SSU rRNA". It matches the Rfam family "Bacterial small subunit ribosomal RNA", at positions 355 to 796 of the family's 1533-position model. The record is from RNAcentral.
UAACGAAUAUUCCGCAAUGCGCGAAAGCGUGACGGAGCAAUGCCGCGUGAAGGAUGAAGCCCCUAGGGGUGUAAACUUCUGUCAGGGUUCAGGAAUUUUGACCAGACCCAAAGGAAGGGCCGGCUAACUUCGUGCCAGCAGCCGCGGUAAUACGAAGGGCCCGAGCGUUGCGCGGAAUCAUUGGGCUUAAAGGGUGCGCAGGCGGACUCGCAAGUGCCUUGUGAAAUACCACGGCUUAACCGUGGAAUUGCUCGGUAGACUGCGAGUCUUGAGCGCGGCAGGGGCAGCCGGAACGCUAGGUGGAGCGGUGAAAUGCGUAGAUAUCUAGCGGAACGCCAAAGGUGAAGACAGGCUGCUGGGCCGCCGCUGACGCUCAGGCACGAAAGCGUGGGUAGCGAACGGGAUUAGAUACCCCCGUAGUCC